Molecule: ribosomal RNA, 274 nt
Filed under: uncultured bacterium
Lineage: Bacteria
Description: partial 16S ribosomal RNA
Rfam family: Bacterial small subunit ribosomal RNA
Source: RNAcentral
AUACGGAGGGUGCGAGCGUUAAUCGGAAUUACUGGGCGUAAAGCGCGCGUAGGCGGCAUAGUCAGUCGGAUGUGAAAGCCCCGGGCUCAACCUGGGAACUGCAUUCGAAACUGCUAAGCUAGAGUUUGGUAGAGGGCAGUGGAAUUCCGGGUGUAGCGGUGAAAUGCGUAGAUAUCCGGAGGAACACCAGUGGCGAAGGCGACUGCCUGGACCAAAACUGACGCUGAGGUGCGAAAGCGUGGGGAGCAAACAGGAUUAGAAACCCUUGUAGUCC